CGUUACAGGUUCCCCGCGUGCAUCUUGCCCUAAACCCCCAAUUUUCUAUGGUUGACCUCGGAUCAGGUAGGGAUACCCGCUGAACUUAAGCAUAUCAAUAAGCGGAGGAAAAGAAACCAACAGGGAUUGCCUCAGUAACGGCGAGUGAAGCGGCAUAAGCUCAAAUUUGAAAUCUGGCUCUUUCAGAGUCCGAGUUGUAAUUUGUAGAAGAUGUUUCGAGUGUGGUCCGGUCUAAGUUCCUUGGAACAGGACGUCAUAGAGGGUGAGAAUCCCGUAUGUGACUGGAUACCUUCGCUCAUGUGAAACUCUUUCGACGAGUCGAGUUGUUUGGGAAUGCAGCUCAAAAUGGGUGGUAAAUUUCAUCUAAAGCUAAAUAUUGGCCAGAGACCGAUAGCGCACAAGUAGAGUGAUCGAAAGAUGAAAAGCACUUUGGAAAGAGAGUUAAACAGUACGUGAAAUUGUUGAAAGGGAAGCGCUUGCAAUCAGACUUGCGCCUAGUUGAUCAUCCAGGCUUCUGCCUGGUGCACUCAAAUUAGGCUCAGGCCAGCAUCGGUUUGGGUGGUUGGAUAAGGCCUUGGGAAUGUAGCCCCCUUCGGG
RNAcentral lists this small RNA (597 nucleotides) under [Arthropsis] microsperma. RNAcentral's name for it is "eukaryotic LSU rRNA". It matches the Rfam family "Eukaryotic large subunit ribosomal RNA", at positions 1 to 549 of the family's 3401-position model. Lineage: Eukaryota; Fungi; Ascomycota; Leotiomycetes; Helotiales. The record is from RNAcentral.